This 442-nucleotide ribosomal RNA is filed under the name uncultured bacterium. Its description in RNAcentral is "partial 16S ribosomal RNA". It matches the Rfam family "Bacterial small subunit ribosomal RNA", at positions 338 to 795 of the family's 1533-position model. The record is from RNAcentral.
CCUACGGGUGGCAGCAGUAGGGAAUCUUUCACAAUGGGCGAAAGCCUGAUGGAGCAACGCCGCGUGCAGGAUGAAGGCCUUCGGGUUGUAAACUGCUUUUAUAAGCGAGAAAUAUGAUGGUAACUUAUGAAUAAGGAUCGGCUAACUACGUGCCAGCAGCCGCGGUCAUACGUGGGAUCCGAGCAUUAUCCGGAGUGACUGGGUGUAAAGAGUUGCGUAGGUGGGAUAAUAAGUAGCUAGUGAAAUCUGGUGGCUCAACCAUUCAGACUAUUAGCUAAACUGUUAAGCUCGAGACCGUUAGGGGUAACUGGAAUUUCUAGUGUAGGAGUGAAAUGCGUAGAUAUUAGAAGGAACACCAAUAGCGUAGGCAGGUUACUGGGACGGUUCUGACACUAAGGCACGAAAGCGUAGGGAGCAAACGGGAUUAGAUACCCUUGUAGUC